GGCGAGAUAGCUCAGUUGGUAGAGCGCAGGACUCAUAAGCCUAAGGUCAAGGGUUCGAUCCCCUUUCUCGCCACCA
Molecule: transfer RNA, 76 nt
Filed under: Verrucomicrobiota bacterium
Lineage: Bacteria; Pseudomonadati; Verrucomicrobiota
Also listed under: 3 other names
Description: Verrucomicrobia bacterium (gut metagenome) tRNA-Met
Rfam family: tRNA
About the family: Transfer RNA (tRNA) molecules are approximately 80 nucleotides in length. Their secondary structure includes four short double-helical elements and three loops (D, anti-codon, and T loops).
Source: RNAcentral